UUAAUUCACUUAUAGGGUCUUUGCAUUGGAACUAAACACAUUUAUUCAAAAAAACAGUUGUUGGCAUGACACUGGUUAUGUUCUUCUCAUAUAUGUUAUGAUGGUAUGAUACUAAACCCCUAAUGGGAAGGAUUGUGCUUGAUAUUCAUAUGAUGAAAUCAUAAUCUUUCAGUCAGUUUUAUUGAAGUCUGGAGCUGGCAUGUCAGUUAACUGCUAGUAGUCUGUUGUUAUUUAUGUAUUAUUGUCAUUUUGUUUAUUUUCUAGACUAUGGUUACAUGUACAUCUUCUGACAUCAGACUCAGACUUCUCUUGAAC
RNAcentral lists this long non-coding RNA (315 nucleotides) under Mytilus galloprovincialis (Mediterranean mussel). The record is from RNAcentral. Lineage: Eukaryota; Metazoa; Mollusca; Bivalvia; Mytilida; Mytilidae.